GUGGGGAAUAUUGGACAAUGGGGGGAACCCUGAUCCAGCCAUGCCGCGUGUGUGAAGAAGGCCUUUUGGUUGUAAAGCACUUUAAGCGAGGAGGAGGCUACCGAGAUUAAUACUCUUGGAUAGUGGACGUUACUCGCAGAAUAAGCACCGGCUAACUCUGUGCCAGCAGCCGCGGUAAUACAGAGGGUGCAAGCGUUAAUCGGAUUUACUGGGCGUAAAGGGAGCGUAGGUGGCCAAUUAAGUCAAAUGUGAAAUCCCCGAGCUUAACUUUGGAAUUGCAUUCGAUACUGGUUGGCUAGAGUAUGGGAGAGGAUGGUAGAAUUCCAGGUGUAGCGGUGAAAUGCGUAGAGAUCUGGGGGAAUACCGAUGGCGAAGGCAGCCAUCUGGCCUAAUACUGACACUGAGGUGCGAAAGCAUGGGGAGCAAACAGGAUUAGAAACCCGUGUAGUCC
This 451-nucleotide ribosomal RNA is filed under the name uncultured bacterium. Its description in RNAcentral is "bacterial SSU rRNA". It matches the Rfam family "Bacterial small subunit ribosomal RNA", at positions 354 to 796 of the family's 1533-position model. The record is from RNAcentral.